UACUGUUGCGUCGGCGGAGCAUAUCCGGCGGCGUCGGUGACGGGAAACAAUGGGGCAAGGCUAGGCGUCCUCUCCCCUCUCUCUCCCUGUCCCGUCUCUCCUCUGGACAGGAGCCAACAUCCCUUUCUUCAUCAGCGACGGCUGCCGCGCGCGACUGAUGGGUGGGGAGGAGAGGCAUGGUGAGAUCCCCGCAGAGCAACUGAUUUUGGCGCGGCAUAGACGACGUGCUGCUGCUCCGCGCUGCUUCUCUCCCUGAUUUCGCCACGGCGCUGCUCCCCCUUGCAGACGCCAUGCCGCUGCUCCGACCUACAGGCUCGACGCGGCUUGAUACCACUUCCGGUAACAUGCUUUGCCGAAGCAGCUGGGCAGUAUGUUUCAGAAAUGGCACGGGCACUGGAAUUGCUUGGAUUGGGUGCAUGCUUGACAGCGUCAAUAAUGGAUUGUGUGGUGAUGGGUUACCCCCAAAUUGGAGUUCUUGACUGCAUUCAGGUUUUUCUUGCCAUUGGGACUACUUUCUUGCACAUAGGUCUAGUCUUUAUAGUUAUCUCUGUGUUUCAUUUCCUUUGUUCUUAGUUUUAUUUCUGCUUAAGUACAUAUUGUUGUAAAGUGUAUAUGUGGAUUGCAUAACCCUUUCCAUCAGUUCGGACUUUUGGUUCAAGUGGUUAGUGCAUGAAGCUUAACAUGGUAUCAGAGCCUCAGGUCUCGAGUUCAAAUCCUGGUUUUCGCAACUAAGCGUAAAAAAUUGCUGUUGCCCACCUCUUUAGCCACCGCGGAUGCCCUGUUUCGGUGUGCUCUUCUUCUUUCACGUGUUGACUUUCUCUUCUCCCGUCACACGCGAGUGUGGGUGUUGUGAAGUGUAUAUGUAGAUUGCCUAACCCUUUCCAUCAGUUCGGACUUUUGGUUCAAGUGGCUAGUGCAUGAAGCUUAACACAUAUCAUGGUACUGUGACCAAAUUUAACAAGAAAUACGAUUUUCUUAGUGAAAUCUCUCGAAAGCUAAUGUUGUAAGCAUGCUUUACACUUCUAUUGCACUGGUUGCCGGAGAAUUUGCUAUCUACCUACUAUUGUUUAGUUUGGUAGUUCAGAAGAAGGCCGUACAAGCCAAGGUGAGCAAAUUUUAUGGGGAAUGAGAACAAUUUUCAUUAUUGACACAGAGGAAAAUUACAAUGUUUGAAAAUAUAAAGAUGUUCCAGGUAUAGGAAGUUCAUUACUGGUAAACUCAUGAUUCUCUUGGGUUUCUGAGAUGAAUGCCUUUUUUCCUGCAAGGUGCACAUGCUCCAAAUUAAUGGAGGGCAUGAUUCAAUUAUGUCCACCGCACUAAAUGUUUUGAGGAAAGGGAAAGAAUUAUUCAAUUAUGUACCACUGCACUGAUAGUUUGAACUGCUAGGACUUCCCACCACUUACUGAUAUAGGGGUUAGGAACCAAAUUCUAAUGUUUUAUGCUUGAACUUAGAACUAUUUUCAUGUCCAGCUGAUAUAGGAGGUACUGGUAUUCUAUUUAAUUGUUUAUGGCAUUCAGAUAAAUACCUGAAGGGAGUGUGCGGCCUUACAAAGGAAGUUUCUUCAAGAUAUAUGUUUUAGUGCAUUUGUUAAACAUGAAAACCUCUUGAGAUGGUGAGGGGACGCAAUAUAGUGUCAACUGAGUGCAUCAUUGGCCAAAGUUGCAUCCGAUGUUCUUACACAUUAUAAUAUUUGAUGACAUGAAGUGUUAUGCAAAGUACUAAAGUUUUUUUUUUUUUUGCGAAUAUGCAAAGUACUAAAGUUGGUCCUUUCUAUUGAGCAUAACAAGAACUCACUUCCAAAUAAUUAUGUUUUAGGAUUGCGUCCUUUUCUUCCCUACAUGAUUAGAAGUAUUUCAUUGGUAGCAUGACUAUAGGAAACAUCUGGCGAAGCUAUGUUGUUUUCAACACUGUAAUAUGAUUUGUUAGUGUUUUUGACAUAUUAAAAAAAUGAUGCUUUUUGCAUAAUAAAAUGAAUUAUUGGGAGUGCUAACUUGCAACGUCGGGAGAGAACAUUGCGUAUGGUCACAAACAUGUGCUAAUGUUCCGUCCAUCAUCACUGUGCAUAUUUUCAAAGAACCAGUGCAUUCCGUCGAACAACAGUCUUCUACAGGUCAGGUCACAUGUAUGAAGCUGGCUGAUAGGACGAUUAAAUUGCUAGAUUAAUUGUUUAGAGUUAGAGAGUGCAUUUGUAUGUAAAGAAUUCGCCUUCACAACUCUUAAGUGCUUUUUGUUCUUCCUUGUAAUUUUGACAAUGUACAAUUUCAAGGUUCUCUUGUUUGUUCUGCUUUUAGGUUGCUCGCGGAAAGGAAGCAUCUUUGCUACGCAUUUCAACAAGAUGCUGGCGCCAGAUUCUCCAGAUAAUCGGGGGAGAAAAAUGUCAAAUUUCUUCCGGGCCUUCAGCGAGAAUGUUGAGCUGCAGCAGGUUACACUAUCACAGAUUCAAAGCUUAUACCAUCAAAGUCACAUCCCAAAAUUCCAAACGAUCAAGACCACUGUCACCGGCGCUCCGUGCUCCCUUCCUCUUGCAGCACUUGGACUCCAUCGGCACUGAGCCUCUCUGAGCUGGCCACAGGCACUGGAACUAGGUUCGGUGGACGGUGUCUUGUAGGCUGCUCUUCGCCAGCUCACUCCUGAAACAUGUUUUGCUGCAUGAGCCAUGUUCAUGCAUGAAUACUAUUUUUAUCAUUUUGGUACACCCGUCCUAUUUGGAUUUCAGCUUGUUCAAUUAUUCGCCCAUGUUGUUUCCUUCCCUCACUCGACAAGUCAGGUUCACUACUAUUUGUGCAAAAUAACUGCUACAAUUUCAUCAGCAACCAGCAAAAUGUAGAUCUCUUCUCUAUGAUUGUCAAGUGUGCUGCAUAUUUAUCUUAACUAUGGUUGGAUGCUUCUUUGUUGUGAUCUCAGUCUCAUAUCUUUUAUAUAUGCAUAGGACUGGUGUUAAUUAAGCUGGUUGUUUAAGUUAUCUGCACCUGAUUGCUCAUUGACUAUAACUAACUAUAACAGUUGGGAAAUUGUAUUUUGUCCUCCGGUCAGCUAUGUAGAUCGCAGUUGGUGAGAAAGCAUGAGGCGAUAGAGAACACUCGGCUGCUGGCAAAGGGCUGGAGCAGAAGCCAUGGACAGUGACACUAAAAACACAGGCGUGUUACUCCCAACUAGGUAAUAAAUCAAAACAUUCACGAGUGUACUUCUUUUCAAUGAAAAGCACGAGUGUGCUGCAAUGGCCACAUCGUGUAUCUACGGUGAAACAACGCAACGCUUGUGUCUUCGAGGGCGAGCGGCCCUCGGUCUCUGGCACAUGCGAUAAGAUCCGGGCAGAAGCUACCAUCUGGGCUAGGGCGGGGGCGUUAGGUCUGCGUGCCGUGCUGCCAGUAGAUUGGGAUGUCCACUGAACUUAUGUCAUACCUUGCCCUGUAACACACCUCCCUUGUGAGUUGUGAUCUUGUAACACCAUCCUUCUUUGCAAUGAAAUGAAACUCAAUGUCAUUGCG
Molecule: non-coding RNA, 3489 nt
Organism: Lolium perenne
Lineage: Eukaryota; Viridiplantae; Streptophyta; Magnoliopsida; Poales; Poaceae
Source: RefSeq, a predicted model, not a curated record